Long non-coding RNA from Anolis carolinensis (green anole), 3194 nucleotides. RefSeq lists it as uncharacterized. The transcript is spliced from 3 exons. NCBI's taxonomy places the organism in Eukaryota, Metazoa, Chordata, Lepidosauria, Squamata, Anolidae. The record is from RefSeq and is a predicted model, not a curated record.
GAGCCCAACAAGUCGUGUGAGGCAGGCCCUUGUUUAGAAGCGAGUUCAAAACAAUCUCCAUCCUCUCCGCCGCCCUUUCCCUUGUGUGCGUGUGUGUGUGUAUUUUUUUCUGAAGGAAUGAUGGAGAAGGGGAGAGAGUCAGACAAGUUUAAUGAUGUGUGUUCAAAGCUCAGAUUGGAAAAAUGACAGAGAAAAGCAGCCUGUUUCGGCUCUAAUAAAUUGUUCUUCGCCGUAAGAGGCGCCUGUCGCGGCAUUAAUACAGGCCCCUAAUACACGGGUCAGGGUUAAGUAAUUUUCUCCGGCAACUUAAGCGAAUAAUGAAGCUGGCGGCGCGGCGGGAGAGAGGGCCCGGCACCGGCGGCACUUUGUCUUCAUUUAUUAUGCCAGCGCUCAUGAUGCCGGCACCGGCCGCACCGGCGGCGGGAAGCCCUCCGCCGAGGAGAUAUCGCUUCAUUUCGGAGAGAACAAUUACCCCUGAGUAUGUGUCCUGGAUUUGAAGAUACUGAAUAUAGCGGCAUCAGGGGAUUCCCAAACAAGAGGGAGCUAAAGACUAGGACUUAACUCUCAAUUUUGAGUUUCCUUCCUCCAACAAAGGCUUCUCUGACCCCGGCGAAGGCAGUGUUGGUCCAUCUGCAACAGGGCAAGGGUUAGCCUGGACUUUUGACAAGAGGGCUGUUUGGAAUAACCCACACAGUGGGAUUUCUCUCUAAUUGGCUGCCUGGAGAAGGGACUGAACAAAACCAAGACUGAAGCCAGAGCCAAGCCAAAGCACGAGAUGGUGACAGCUUGGAAAAUCUCAGCAGAGUUGAGCCUUCCAGCUCCCCAACUACCCAAGUGCCUGCUGCCUAUGGUGGAGCAGGUUUCUGAGUCCAAUAAAGCGGAUAAAGAAGAACUGAACUACUCGAGGGGCUAUCAAUGACACAUAUACCCAGGAUUUAAUGACACAGUGUGCUUCCAUCCUCGCACCCUGUUGCACAAAGCCUUGGCGCUUGUCAUGGGAAAUAUGUCUGGCUGUAUUUCUCAUCAGAGGCUCCCAGCAUCUAGCUGGGCAUGUCACAAAAGAAUGAGAGACAAUUUAGAAAAGAAUCAGUUAAAAUCUGUAGGUAUCAGACAUUUCAACAGUCUUUAAGUUCAGGGGAAAAAAAAAGAGAAACCAGGUGGUCUAUGAAUGCAUUUUUUGGUGAAAAUUCAGAUAAUGCCCCCAGGAUGCUGGGUCAACCUUUCAAUGCAGAAGAAGCCAAGAAUAAAAGGAAAUAAACAUAGCAUGUAUUUUGAAAACAUAAUGCAAGAUGUGUUCUGCUCUAAGGUGUGCUUUGGAGACCCAUUUAGCAGGGCAUGCCCUGCCAUGAAUUCUGAAUGUGGAGAUAGUCAUCCAGCUGCUUCCUUCAUCACAUACCUUAGACCAGGGGUCCCCAAACUAAGGCCCGGAGGCCGGAUGCGGCCCUCCAAGGUCAUUUACCUGGCCCCUGCCCUCAUUUAUAAUAUAAUAUUUUUAUAUCAGUUUUAAUAAUAUAAUAUAUUGUAUAUACAUAUGAUAUUAGUGCUUUGAAAGAGCUCUGAAGUAAAAACAGCUCAAAGAGUGUUCCUUGAGUCAGCAGCCUUGAGUAGUAGAUUAGUAGAAGGCUCUCUGCUUCCUAGUAUGUACUCCAGGGUAGCAGUCAGCAAACAAAAGGAGACCAGAUAAGAAAAAAAAGGGAAAAAAAUAUAAAAAUUCUUUGGAAUCCUGGAGCACUGCAAGCCUUCCAGCCAGCCGGGAAGAAAACAGUUUGAGGCAAGCCGAGAUUCAGCAAUGUGAUCCUCUUCUUACCUUCCCUCCUUCAGGGAGGCUUAGGCUUAGGUGUUUUCCAAACAGUUGCCAAUAAAAUCUUUAAAACUGCAUUAGCUUCAUAUAAACAGUCUUUAGUAAAAGUAAGGAGUUCAAGGGCAAUAGUCUUCAAUUAAAAUUGAGAGUUUAAGAUAAUAUAAAAGCAAUAAGAUAACAGCUUCAGAACUUGCCCUUGAGCUCGGCUGACGCUGCUCCUCCCGUUGCUCCACCGGAAGUACUACAUAUGAUAUUGAUAAUAAUAUGAUUUUGUACAAUAUAAUACUAAUAAUAAUACCAUAUAAUAAUAUUAAUUAUAUGUUAUAUAUUACAUAUAAUAUUACAGUAUAGUGAUAUAGUUCAAUAUAGUAACAUAUAAUGCUAAUAUUGUGCUCACCCUUCGGGAUGAGAAGGGUGGGAUAUAAAUGUAGUAAAUAAAUGCAGUAAAUUAAUAAAUAAAUAAAUAAUUUUGGACUUAGGCUCACCCAAAGUCUGAAAUGACUUGAAGACACACAACAACAACAAUCCUAAUUAAUCUGACUAUCUCAUUGGUCAGAAGCAGGCCCACACUUCCUAUUGAAAUCCUGAUAGAUUUAUGUUGGUUAAAAUUAUUUUCAUUUUUAAAUAUUGUAUUGUUCUUUCAUUGUUAUUGUUGCUUUGCACUACAAAUAAGAUAUGUGCAGUGUGCAUAGGAAUUUGUUCAUCCCCCCCCCCCCCAAAUGAUAAUUCGGCCCCUCAACAGUCGGAAGGAUUGUGGACCAGCCCUCUGCUUUAAAAGUUUGAGGACCCCUGCCUUAGACAGACAGCCUAGGCUGAAUAUUCAUUGUGUGCUCAUUAUCUUGCAUCUUACCAAGCUAAAAGGGUUAGAGGUAUUCGCCCUUCAAGAGCAAACUAAAGGAUUUGAGAUCACAAAAUGACACUAAGCAACAAAAUAUGAAACUGGCCUUGAAAACUGGGUGGACUCUUUAAAAUAAUGGUGUUAACUAACUUCAGAUACUGUUUGGUAAAUGUCUAGAAAAUCCUGUAGGAGUCUGAGGAUGCCAAUUUGUCAAUAAACGUCUGUUUGGCAGUUCAGAAAUCACAGCCUGAGAUUUUUACAAUUUAAAAGUCAUCUGCAUUCUUGGCUUGAAAUCUUAGUGGAAACAUACUCAGCAAUUCCCUAGUGGACUAAGAUAAUAAAUAAGUGUCAAAAAAGGAAGAUCCACCACAAAUUUAUUCCCUAUGCAGUAACACUAUUCAGAUUCAGGAUGACUGUCAUCAGAAACCAAGAUCUAAUUGCAGCAUACCACUUUUCCUCCCCACCCCAUAAGGUCUUAGUAUAAACCUUUUUUUCCCUUAGAACUGUAUAUGAACUGUUGCAGAUACUGAUUAAAAUGAGGCACUGUGAAGUAAA